This is a long non-coding RNA of Notothenia coriiceps (black rockcod), 104 nucleotides long. RefSeq lists it as uncharacterized. The record is from RefSeq and is a predicted model, not a curated record. The transcript has 3 exons. NCBI's taxonomy places the organism in Eukaryota, Metazoa, Chordata, Actinopteri, Perciformes, Nototheniidae.
ACAAGAACAGAAUAACAGUGCGACUGCUACCGUAGUACACAGACUAAGGGCGUCAUCAAAUAAUAAUACUUAACAUAUACUCAUUUAAAUUAUUGGUUAAAACC